AAAAAGACAAUUCCAUGCCUAACGUUUGACCGUCCGUCUUUCAAAUUAUAAAAAAAUAAAAAGACAAAUCACGCAUAAAAUAUUAAUCAUGUUUUAUCAUCUAACAACAAUGAAAAUACGAAUUAUAAAAAAAUUUCAUAUAAGACGGGCCGUUAAAGUUGGACACGGAAAUCCAGGGUUUGUCUUUUU
This is a microRNA precursor of Oryza rufipogon (brownbeard rice), 189 nucleotides long. It matches the Rfam family "MIR812 microRNA precursor family". The record is from Rfam. NCBI's taxonomy places the organism in Eukaryota, Viridiplantae, Streptophyta, Magnoliopsida, Poales, Poaceae.